RNAcentral lists this long non-coding RNA (264 nucleotides) under Mytilus galloprovincialis (Mediterranean mussel). Lineage: Eukaryota; Metazoa; Mollusca; Bivalvia; Mytilida; Mytilidae. The record is from RNAcentral.
GAGUUAUUGGCCUUUAUAGUCAAUUUUUAACCAUUUUUCGUAAAUCUUAGUUAUCUUUUGCAAAAAUCUUCUCCUCUGAAACUACUGGGCCAAGUUCAUUAUAGAUAGAGAUAAUUGUAAGCAGCAAGAAUGUUCAGUAAAGUAAGAUGUACAAACACAUCACCAUCACCAAAACACAAUUUUGUCAUGAAUCCAUCUGCGUCCUUUGUUUAAUAUUCACAUAGACCAAGGUGAGCGACACAGGCUAUUUAGAGCCUCUAGUUU